Molecule: ribosomal RNA, 485 nt
Filed under: uncultured bacterium
Lineage: Bacteria
Description: partial 16S ribosomal RNA
Rfam family: Bacterial small subunit ribosomal RNA
Source: RNAcentral
AUUGAACGCUGGCGGCAUGCCUUACACAUGCAAGUCGAACGGCAGCGGGCCCUUCGGGGUGCCGGCGAGUGGCGAACGGGUGAGUAAUGCAUCGGAACGUACCCGGGAGAGGGGGAUAACCGGCCGAAAGGCUGGUUAAUACCGCAUGAACUCGGAAGAGCAAAGCGGGGGACCUUCGGGCCUCGCGCUCUCGGAGCGGCCGAUGUCCGAUUAGGCUAGUUGGUGGGGUAAAGGCCCACCAAGGCGACGAUCGGUAGCGGGUCUGAGAGGACGAUCCGCCACACUGGGACUGAGACACGGCCCAGACUCCUACGGGAGGCAGCAGUGGGGAAUCGUGGACAAGGGGCGCAAGCCUGAUCCAGCAAUGCCGCGUGGGUGAAGAAGGCCUUCGGGUUGUAAAGCCCGUGCGGCGGGGAAGAAAUCGGUCAGGCGAAUAGUCUGGCCGGAUGACGGUACCCGCAGAAGAAGCACCGGCUAACUACGUG